Molecule: ribosomal RNA, 867 nt
Filed under: Fuscoporia wahlbergii
Lineage: Eukaryota; Fungi; Basidiomycota; Agaricomycetes; Hymenochaetales; Hymenochaetaceae
Description: eukaryotic LSU rRNA
Rfam family: Eukaryotic large subunit ribosomal RNA
Source: RNAcentral
UAACAAGGAUUCCCCUAGUAACUGCGAGUGAAGCGGGAAAAGCUCAAAUUUAAAAUCUGGCAGCCUUGCCGUCCGAGUUGUAAUCUGGAGAAGCGUUUUCCGCGCCGGACCGUGUACAAGUCUCUUGGAACAGAGUGUCAUAGAGGGUGAGAAUCCCGUCCAUGACACGGACUCCCGGUGCUUUGUGAUACGCUCUCGAAGAGUCGAGUUGUUUGGGAAUGCAGCUCAAAAUGGGUGGUAAGCUCCAUCUAAAGCUAAAUAUUGGCGAGAGACCGAUAGCGAACAAGUACCGUGAGGGAAAGAUGAAAAGCACUUUGGAAAGAGAGUUAAACAGUACGUGAAAUUGUUGAAAGGGAAACGCUUGAAGUCAGUCGCGUCUUACUUGACUCAGCCUUGCUUUGGCUUGGUGUAUUUCAAGUAGGAUGGGUCAACAUCGAUUUUGACCGGCGGACAAGGGGAGAAGGAAUGUGGUACUCUUUGGGGUGUGUUAUAGCCUUCUCUCAUAUACGUCGGUUGGGAUUGAAGCUCGCAGUGUGCCCUUGUGGCCGGAAGUUUGCCUCACGUAACGCGCUUAGGAUGUUGGCAUAAUGGCUUUAAGCGACCCGUCUUGAAACACGGACCAAGGAGUCUAACAUGCUCGCGAGUGUUAGGGUGGAAAACCCUUGCGCAUAAUGAAAGUGAAAGUUGAGAACCUCCGCAAGGGGGUGCAUCGACGCCCGGCCCUGAAGUUUACGGACGGUGCUGCGGUAGAGCGCGUAUGUUGGGACCCGAAAGAUGGUGAACUAUGCCUGAAUAGGGCGAAGCCAGAGGAAACUCUGGUGGAGGCUCGUAGCGAUUCUGACGUGCAAAUCGAUCGUCAAAUUUGGG